CCCUUAGAUGUUCUGGGCUGCACGCGCGCUACACUGAUGCGCUCAACGAGUUUACGACCUUGCCCGGAAGGGUUGGGUAAUCUUUUUAAAACGCAUCGUGAUGGGGAUAGAUUAUUGCAAUUAUUAAUCUUUAACGAGGAAUUCCUAGUAAACGUAGAUCAUCAAUCUGCAUUGAUUACGUCCCUGCCCUUUGUACACACCGCCCGUCGCACCUACCGAUUGAAUGGUCCGGUGAAGCCUCGAGAUUGUGGCCAGCUCGCUUUAUUGGGAGUUGGUUGCGAGAACUUGUCUAAACCUUAUCAUUUAGAGGAAGGUGAAGUCGUAACA
RNAcentral lists this ribosomal RNA (327 nucleotides) under uncultured eukaryote. RNAcentral's name for it is "partial 18S ribosomal RNA". It matches the Rfam family "Eukaryotic small subunit ribosomal RNA", at positions 1470 to 1796 of the family's 1831-position model. The record is from RNAcentral.